GUGAUGGUUACUCGCAAUCGGAGAUGAUGGCGCGAAUCUUGGGUUGAAUGAAUUAUCUUAUAUGGCGCGAGAUUUCAGGCUAGCUGGCGAUCGGUUGAGAUUGAGAGGAUUCAAAUAUUGACAGCCGUUAUGGCGGAGACAGCGAGAUUUGAUCCCAAAUAUGGAGGAUUUGGAGCUCCCUUCUUUAUGUAGACGUUCCGAUUUGGAGACUGGCUUGACUAUUGGUGGAGUCAGGGUCGGUCUUAGCUUUUAACUGAGUCCUCCUUGGCCCCGAGGUCAAUCAAGCUUUGCUUAGCCGAGACUAUGCUUGCCGAGGACGUGCCUGCCGAGGUCGUGCCUUCUGAGCUCGGCCUUCUAGGGGAGGCCUUCUGAGCUCGGCCUUCUGGAGGAGGCCUUCUGAGGGCAGCCUUCUGAGGUCGGCCUUCUGUGCUCUGCCUUCUGAGGUCAUGCCUACCGAGACCAGGCUUGCUGUCGGAUUCGGAUGCUUUAACCAUAUAUGUUGGGUGAUCCACUUUUCCCCCCAACAGAUCCCACUUCUCGAGGUUGUUUCUUAUCUCACCCUAUUAAUGAGAAAAUCAAUUAGGUAUAUUGUAUAAAUUACAAAAGAUGUGCUCCCCUUGGACUAAAAUAACCUGGAUUACACUCUCUGUU
Molecule: long non-coding RNA, 651 nt
Filed under: Phoenix dactylifera (date palm)
Lineage: Eukaryota; Viridiplantae; Streptophyta; Magnoliopsida; Arecales; Arecaceae
Description: long non-coding RNA (PDAC_LNC019968)
Source: RNAcentral